Molecule: long non-coding RNA, 340 nt
Organism: Suricata suricatta (meerkat)
Lineage: Eukaryota; Metazoa; Chordata; Mammalia; Carnivora; Herpestidae
Exons: 2
Source: RefSeq, a predicted model, not a curated record
UUCUGGAAGUCUCUCUGCACAUCGUCUUCAUAGUGUGUUUCGUAGAGGUGUGUCUGGUGACAUCGGUCUUCAAAGUAGAAAAUCCCUUCGGAAAAUCCACUUGGCAGCGGCCUCUCCUUUGGGGAGCUUCAGAGAAACAGAAGGUGCCGACCGACCAGCUCUUACCUGAGGGGCACAGCGGAGAGGCUGUCCCCGGAGCAGAGCGCAAGGCGCAGAGGCGUGACCUGGCUGCCCGUCCUUCUGCUCCUCCUCCUGCUUUGAAGCGGCCCUGCUUGUAUCCCAAAGCCCUAGCUACCUCUUUGGAAAAUUCUCCAGUGAGCAAUAAAGUCUCAGCAGCUUC